This 478-nucleotide ribosomal RNA is filed under the name uncultured bacterium. Its description in RNAcentral is "partial 16S ribosomal RNA". It matches the Rfam family "Bacterial small subunit ribosomal RNA", at positions 28 to 523 of the family's 1533-position model. The record is from RNAcentral.
GACGAACGCUGGCGGCGUGCUUAACACAUGCAAGUCGAACGGUAAGGCCCUUCGGGGUACACGAGUGGCGAACGGGUGAGUAACACGUGGGUGAUCUGCCCUGCACUUCGGGAUAAGCCUGGGAAACUGGGUCUAAUACCGGAUAGGACCACUGCCUGCAUGGGUGGUGGUGGAAAGCUUUUGCGGUGUGGGAUGGGCCCGCGGCCUAUCAGCUUGUUGGUGGGGUGAUGGCCUACCAAGGCGACGACGGGUAGCCGGCCUGAGAGGGUGACCGGCCACACUGGGACUGAGAUACGGACCAGACUCCUACGGGAGGCAGCAGUGGGGAAUAUUGCACAAUGGGCGCAAGCCUGAUGCAGCGACGCCGCGUGAGGGAUGACGGCCUUCGGGUUGUAAACCUCUUUCAGCACCGACGAAGCGCAAGUGACGGUAGGUGCAGAAUAAGCACCGGCUAACUACGUGCCAGCAGCCGCCGUAA